Lucilia cuprina (Australian sheep blowfly) is the source of this 448-nucleotide long non-coding RNA. RefSeq lists it as uncharacterized. The record is from RefSeq and is a predicted model, not a curated record. The transcript is spliced from 3 exons. Lineage: Eukaryota; Metazoa; Arthropoda; Insecta; Diptera; Calliphoridae.
CAACUAGCUGGUUUACGGGAGGCAAUUAUAGAGCGGGAAGAGUUCUUUUGGCUGAUGAGGCUUUCCUGUCAGUCCGUAUUAGGGUCCGUUCGGGUAAACCAGGUUUUUUUGUUAUAAAUAUAUAUGGCUAAGACAACCUGAGAUCUCAAAAUCACGCGUUACUUUGUAAGAGGCCUGAGCUCAACCCUGUUCGCGCACGUUUGAAAAAAAAAAAACGCAAACGGAAUGGAUUCGAUACGAUGAAUGAUAGAAAAUUAUUUAAAAAGGACACUCGUCCGGUCCGUCCUGUCAUCCGGGUGCAAACUCACAGAAGAUCGGAAAACCAAAAAUUAUACCAGAGCACCCCAGGCGUGGUGGUGCUGGAAAACAGCCCACCUUUUUCAUUGUGUUGCCACCUGUUUAAGUUUCUUCUUCUUCUAUUCAGUAGCUCUAUUACAGGGUGCACACG